Molecule: long non-coding RNA, 299 nt
Organism: Anolis sagrei ordinatus
Lineage: Eukaryota; Metazoa; Chordata; Lepidosauria; Squamata; Anolidae
Source: RefSeq, a predicted model, not a curated record
CAGCAUUUUGAAAAUAAUAAAAAUAUGUUGUGAGUCACAGGAGCGGCGUGAAAAGAGGAAAGCCAGGCGUGGAUGGCCAAAUGGAAUGAAUGCAAAUAACAGAUGCUGAUCCAGUGGCCAAUUGUAUUUUAUUCCCUCUUUGGUAAUACAUCAGGAAUUCUGAGGCAACAAUGGAAUGAGAGAUGAAAAGGAAAAGGCUACAAAUAUUCCAAGAAAACCUCUUGCCUUGAAAGUCAAGCCGGUUCUUCAAGUUCACUGCCAGUACCAGCAGCUGAUUAUGCGCUACAACUUCCGAUAUU